RNAcentral lists this Y RNA (96 nucleotides) under Microcebus murinus (gray mouse lemur). Its description in RNAcentral is "Y RNA (ENSMICG00000043897.1)". It matches the Rfam family "Y RNA". Rfam says of the family: Y RNAs are components of the Ro ribonucleoprotein particle (Ro RNP), in association with Ro60 and La proteins. The Y RNAs and Ro60 and La proteins are well conserved, but the function of the Ro RNP is not known. In humans the RNA component can be one of four small RNAs -- hY1, hY3, hY4 and hY5. The record is from Rfam by way of RNAcentral. Lineage: Eukaryota; Metazoa; Chordata; Mammalia; Primates; Cheirogaleidae.
GGUUGGUCCGAUGGUAGUGGGUUAUCAGAACUUAUUAACAUUAGUGUCACUAAAGUUGGUAUUCAACCCCCCACUGCUAAAUUUGACUGGCUUCAA